GCCCCUCACCUGCCUCCUCUUCGAAUCCAGGUGCCACCGUGGCCGCGCUCCCCGCAGGCCCGGGUUCGCUUCCUCCUCGGUAUCGGCGGACCCGCCGCCUGAAGCCGGAAGAUGGCGCAGGCGCACAACGCCCCGCGGACGCUGCCUCGCGAGUGGGCCAACGCCGCAGUCUCUUCUGGGAAACGUAGUUUCUGGGCGCAGAGGCACAGCUUGGCCUCAAAGCCGGAUCUCGCGAUGUUUCGGGGUGGGCGUGGCUCCGGUGUGCCUAGAGGGAGAGUGUUCAAGUCCCCGCGUGGCUGCGGGCGGGUUUGCUCAUCAGGUGCUUAGUGUGUGUGCGAUCGCGUCUUGCGUGGCCGUUGCGGUGUGUGUCGUGUGGUUCGGACCUGUCGUUGGGUCUGACUGGGACCGUGCCACUCCGGGAACACGCUCGUGUGUGACCGUCAAAGUGUCUCAUUCGUUACAUCAUCGUUUUCCGCGCGGAGCGGCCACUUUACCAGAAGUUUCGGAAGGAGAAAAACUCCCGAGUUUAUCCGUGGCUUUCCCUUGGAAGACACACUACACACCGCAGAGCAGAGAGGAGGAACCAACGCAGAGCACCGAUUUGCUAAGUUGACAAACAACAGUUUUGGGGAAAUGAAGUGACUGGAGUUCGUGGGGGCAAAGUGUGGAAGAGGAGUGGAGUUGGUAUUUCCACCAAACAAGACCUACGUACCUGUGGGCGAGGCCAUGCUACCUCCGCCCUCUGAAUUGUGGAUGAGCCAAUACGGUGAAACCUUGGAGAAUGCAUAUUCGGAGACAGACAUUUGCUUCAUGAUACCGCAGAGGUCACAAGCCCUCAUGGAAACAGGGCUGGGAUCUGGAAGAGAUAGGGUGUGAGGGUUUGAAGAGAAGAAGGUCACUGGGCCAUUCCAGACAUAUCCCAGAAAUGACCACAGAGAAUAGAAUUAACAUCAGGACCUUUGGACAGGCCUGUAGAGUGGGUGGGUUGGCUGGAACUCCUGUGGCUGUGAGCAUUAGGCAGAGAGAUGACCUACCUGGGAACACAUUUGAGCUGGGCCACAAAGCCCUAAGGCGCUGAAGGCAAGGAGUCCCGGGUCCCCAAGUACGGGCGGGUAGAAUGGCCAGCUGGUGCGGCCUGACUGGACUUAGAUCUCAGGCAGACAAAGGGGGCUGCCUUCUCUACUUGUCUCGACUUGUGGGAUCAGGACUACAUUUCCUAUAAGUGACUGUGGCUCCAGGCCCACCAUCUACCCCUCCCACUGGAUGUGCACGUCAGGCCUGAUCUAGGAAUAGAAUGGUACCAGAGGGGCAUGGGAGAAGGGAUUGGAUUCUGUAUAUAUGUUAAAGGUGGAGCUAACGGGAUUCACAGAUUUACUGGGUGGAGUAGCAAGAGACUGGGAGUAGUGAAGGAUAACUCCAGGGAAUCCUGAGACAAGUAACUGGAAGAACAAACAUCACCAACCGAGAGGAAAACACGCACGGAGAGGAGCACAUCUUCGGGGGUGAGAUUGGGUGCUUGGUUUCGAAUGCGAUAGUUUGACGUGUUUGUUAGACAUACAAGUGGCAACAUGGAGGAUCAUUUUAGGGGCAGAGUCUGGGCUAGAAUCUUAAGUUAGGAAAUAUUUUUAUCGUGUAGCUAAUUUAUAUUGUGAUGUACUGAGGCAAAUCAAUGUUUUUCAUUGAUCCUCUCUACCUUUUUUUUUUUUUGCUCAAAAGUUGUUUUCCUACCCUAAAUUAUGAAUGUUCAUCUUUAUUUUUCCGUAGAAGUCUAUGAGGAUAUUAAAAAAUAUCCUGUAAUUUGUUAUACCAUAGAGUGUGAUGAAUCAAUGCUAUCUGUAAUACUUGUACUUUGAAGAUUUAUUAAAGUUUCCCUCAUCUAUAAAUGA
Felis catus (domestic cat) is the source of this 1886-nucleotide long non-coding RNA. RefSeq lists it as uncharacterized. Lineage: Eukaryota; Metazoa; Chordata; Mammalia; Carnivora; Felidae. The transcript is spliced from 2 exons. The record is from RefSeq and is a predicted model, not a curated record.